UAAGAUGAUGUGGGUGACCCCCAUUGGGA
Molecule: non-coding RNA, 29 nt
Filed under: Mus musculus (house mouse)
Lineage: Eukaryota; Metazoa; Chordata; Mammalia; Rodentia; Muridae
Also listed under: 1 other name
Source: RNAcentral